UACAUAGGGAGCAAGCGUUAUCCGGAAUUAUUGGGUGUAAAGGGUGCGUAGACGGAGGAACAAGUUGGUUGUGAAAUCCCUCGGCUUAACUGAGGAACUGCAACUAAAACUAUUCCCCUUGAGUGUCGGAGAGGAAAGUGGAAUUCCUAGUGUAGCGGUGAAAUGCGUAGAUAUUAGGAGGAACACCAGUGGCGAAGGCGACUUUCUGGACGAUAACUGACGUUGAGGCACGAAAGUGUGGGGAGCAAACAGG
This 253-nucleotide ribosomal RNA is filed under the name uncultured bacterium. Its description in RNAcentral is "partial 16S ribosomal RNA". It matches the Rfam family "Bacterial small subunit ribosomal RNA", at positions 524 to 776 of the family's 1533-position model. The record is from RNAcentral.